CAACUGAGCUUGGCAAGCGCGGCACCUGGGCGAAAGCCUUUGUGCUGAGGAAAGUCCGGGCUCCUGAGACCAAAGGAUGCUGGGUAACUCCCAGUGGAGGCGACUCUAAGGAUAGUGCAGCAGAAAAAUACCGCCGGCCCCUGGGGUCGGUAAGGGUGGAAUGGUGAGGUAAGAGCUCACCGGCAGUUCGGCGACGAACUGGCCCUGUAAACCCCAUCCGGAGCAACACCGUGGCGAAGCGAUAAUGGUCUCUACGCUUCAGGAGGUGGCUUGAGCUGUGGCGAAAUCCAUGGCCUAGAUAGAUGCUUGCCCUCGACAGAACCCGGCUUAUGAGUUCAGUUGGAAG
This 346-nucleotide RNase P RNA is filed under the name Eubacteriales bacterium. RNAcentral describes it as "RNase P RNA component class A". It matches the Rfam family "Bacterial RNase P class A". Rfam says of the family: Ribonuclease P (RNase P) is a ubiquitous endoribonuclease, found in archaea, bacteria and eukarya as well as chloroplasts and mitochondria. Its best characterised activity is the generation of mature 5'-ends of tRNAs by cleaving the 5'-leader elements of precursor-tRNAs. Lineage: Bacteria; Bacillati; Bacillota; Clostridia; Eubacteriales. The record is from RNAcentral.